This 451-nucleotide ribosomal RNA is filed under the name uncultured bacterium. RNAcentral describes it as "bacterial SSU rRNA". It matches the Rfam family "Bacterial small subunit ribosomal RNA", at positions 29 to 526 of the family's 1533-position model. The record is from RNAcentral.
AACGAACGCUGGCGGCAGGCCUAACACAUGCAAGUCGAGCGAGAACUUCGGUUCUAGCGGCGGACGGGUUAGUAACGCGUGGGAAUAUGCCCUUCACUACGGAAUAGUCCCGGGAAACUGGGUUUAAUACCGUAUACGCCCUUCGGGGGAAGAUUUAUCGGUGAAGGAUUAGCCCGCGUUGGAUUAGGUAGUUGGUGGGGUAAAGGCCUACCAAGGCGACGAUCCAUAGCUGGUCUGAGAGGAUGAUCAGCCACAUUGGGACUGAGACACGGCCCAAACUCCUACGGGAGGCAGCAGUGGGGAAUAUUGGACAAUGGGCGCAAGCCUGAUCCAGCCAUGCCGCGUGAGUGAUGAAGGCCCUAGGGUUGUAAAGCUCUUUCAGCUGGGAAGAUAAUGACGGUACCAGCAGAAGAAGCCCCGGCUAACUCCGUGCCAGCCGCCGCCGUAAAAC